RNAcentral lists this transfer RNA (71 nucleotides) under Meira sp. (in: smut fungi & allies). RNAcentral's name for it is "Meira sp. tRNA-Gly". It matches the Rfam family "tRNA". From Rfam's summary of the family: Transfer RNA (tRNA) molecules are approximately 80 nucleotides in length. Lineage: Eukaryota; Fungi; Basidiomycota; Exobasidiomycetes; Exobasidiales; Brachybasidiaceae. The record is from RNAcentral.
ACUAGUAUAGUUUAAUGGUAGAAUAGGGAACUUCCACUUCUUUGAUUACGGUUCGAUUCCGUAUACUAGUA